Molecule: ribosomal RNA, 514 nt
Filed under: uncultured bacterium
Lineage: Bacteria
Description: bacterial SSU rRNA
Rfam family: Bacterial small subunit ribosomal RNA
Source: RNAcentral
GAGUUUGAUCAUGGCUCAGGACGAACGCUGGCGGCGUGCUUAAUACAUGCAAGUCGAACGGAGUUAAGGGUUUCGGCCUUUAACUUAGUGGCGAACGGGUGAGUAACGCGUGAAUAACCUGACUCAAAGAGGGGGAUAACAACGGGAAACUGUUGCUAAUACCGCAUGAGACCACAACACCGCAUGAUGAAGGGGUCAAAGAUUUAUCGCUUUGAGAGGGGUUCGCGUCCCAUUAGGUAGUUGGAGGGGUAACGGCCCACCAAGCCAACGAUGGGUAGCCGAGCUGAGAGGCUGAUCGGCCACACUGGAACUGAGACACGGUCCAGACUCCUACGGGAGACAGCAGUUAGGAAUAUUCGUCAAUGGAGGAAACUCUGAACGAGCAAUGCCGCGUGAGUGAUGAAGGUCUUAUAGAUUGUAAAACUCUGUUGUAUGGAAAAAACGACUAGGUUAGGAAAUGAACUUAGUGUGAUGGUACCAUACCAGAAACGCCCCGGCUAACUACGUGCCAGCA